GAUGAACGCUGGCGGCGUGCCUAAUACAUGCAAGUCGAGCGAACAGACGAGGAGCUUGCUCCUCUGACGUUAGCGGCGGACGGGUUAGUAACACGUGGAUAACCUACCUAUAAGACUGGGAUAACUUCGGGAAACCGGAGCUAAUACCGGAUAAUAUAUUGAACCGCAUGGUUCAAUAGUGAAAGACGGUUUUGCUGUCACUUAUAGAUUGAUCCGCGCCGCAUUAGCUAGUUGGUAAGGUAACGGCUUACCAAGGCAACGAUGCGUAGCCGACCUGAGAGGGUGAUCGGCCACACUGGAACUGAGACACGGUCCAGACUCCUACGGGAGGCAGCAGUAGGGAAUCUUCCGCAAUGGGCGAAAGCUUGACGGAGCAACGCCGCGUGAGUGAUGAAGGUCUUCGGAUCGUAAAACUCUGUUAUUAGGGAAGAACAAAUGUGUAAGUAACUAUGCACGUCUUGACGGUACCUAAUCAGAAAGCCACGGCUAACUACGUG
This 497-nucleotide ribosomal RNA is filed under the name uncultured bacterium. RNAcentral's name for it is "partial 16S ribosomal RNA". It matches the Rfam family "Bacterial small subunit ribosomal RNA", at positions 28 to 507 of the family's 1533-position model. The record is from RNAcentral.